RNAcentral lists this long non-coding RNA (474 nucleotides) under Vigna radiata. RNAcentral describes it as "long non-coding RNA (VRAD_LNC002586)". The record is from RNAcentral. Lineage: Eukaryota; Viridiplantae; Streptophyta; Magnoliopsida; Fabales; Fabaceae.
UCAUACAAGUAAACAUACAGACUCAAACCAGUCAAUCAUGCAAGCGUACAAUUUCAAUACAAGCAUACUAUAUUCCUUAAAUCAUGACCGACCACUAAGACACUGUCCGGACGGUAUGAACAUGUAGCUCGGUCGUCCCUAGCACCCGGUGUGGUGUAGUAACUGCUUUCCCUUAUCAGCUGCCACCCGAGGUUAGUCCUCAAACGGUUAUCUAUUCAUAUAACCGCGGACCUCCUGCCAUUCCCACACAUGAGUGGCCUUCCUCUACCUGAGGAAACGCCCUCACGGAAUAUCAGGAUCAAGGACGACACCUGAGUCAUUCCCACAUUCAUACUUUACCAAUCACUACCAAAUUUAUGAGUUACUCCGCCAGUGGAAUUCUCUUACUUAGUCAAAUUCAACCAAUGUUCAUUAUUACUUCCAAACUGUUAGGGUGUUGAGAGGAGUACCAAAUACCCAAUACCGAAUCAUAAC